UUGAAGGUACCCACAUCGGCAAAGUUU
Molecule: non-coding RNA, 27 nt
Filed under: Mus musculus (house mouse)
Lineage: Eukaryota; Metazoa; Chordata; Mammalia; Rodentia; Muridae
Source: RNAcentral